ACCNGAGCACUAUGAAUGUAUAAAGAUUUAAAACUCAAAGGACUUGGCGGUGUUUUAGACCACUCAGGGGAACCUGUCUCGUAAUCGAUAAUCCGCGUUGCACCUGACCUCUUUUUGUUCUCAGUUUGUAUACCGUUGUCGUCAGGUAACUUUUUAGAAACUAGAAGUUAGCUAUAGAAAUAAUUGAUAGUUUAAUACGUCAAAUCAAGGUGCAGCUUAUAUAGAGGGGAGGAUGGGUUACAAUUAUAUAAUUUAUAAUAACGGAGAUACAUAUGAAUAUGUGUUAAUUAUAAGGUGGACUUGAAAGUAAAUUGGAAUAUAUAAGUAAUUUGAAUAAGGCUCUGAAACGUGU
This 352-nucleotide ribosomal RNA is filed under the name Myurella pygmaea. Its description in RNAcentral is "Terenolla pygmaea partial 12S ribosomal RNA". It matches the Rfam family "Bacterial small subunit ribosomal RNA", at positions 871 to 1384 of the family's 1533-position model. The record is from RNAcentral. Lineage: Eukaryota; Metazoa; Mollusca; Gastropoda; Neogastropoda; Terebridae.